This 541-nucleotide long non-coding RNA is filed under the name Cyanistes caeruleus (blue tit). RNAcentral's name for it is "lncRNA (ENSCCEG00000006156.1)". The record is from RNAcentral. Lineage: Eukaryota; Metazoa; Chordata; Aves; Passeriformes; Paridae.
CUGGCAGUGAUUUGUGGGGCAGGGAGUUUUCCUCCUUCCCCCUGCACAGUCUGUAAUUCCCUGGUAUUAUAACAUGUCAUUUUUCUAGCAUACCUGAGGAGCCAGGAAAUAAUGUCUGAGCCUAGAGGGACAGCAACGAUGGAACCUCCAAAGAGGCGAGAGAUGGAGAGAUUAGAGCAAGAAACGAAGCCAGCGGAUGCUGCCAGUUCCCAUCACCUAAUCAAAGCUGCUCCGUGGAAGGGCCGCCUCGUUAUUACAUCCCAUUAUAGCCUCCGGCAGCGGCUGUACUUCAUAACCGCCCAGGAAAGCUGACAGCUCCUGAAUGUGACAGCUGCUAAAUCACCUGUUAUUAUGCAGAGAACAAAGCUGUCCUCCAGGAACAAAGAAAGGAGAAUGGUCUGUGACUGGGGGGAAGGCAGAGCACAGCUGUGGGGAGGAGAUGAAGCCAAGAGACACCAGCAAAGCUGCCAGGACUCAGUGGAUAGACAAACCUCCCAGUGUGGUAAAUAAAACCCCAGUUGAUGGUUGAAAUAAUGGCUGG